Long non-coding RNA from Schistocerca gregaria, 4038 nucleotides. RefSeq lists it as uncharacterized. The record is from RefSeq and is a predicted model, not a curated record. NCBI's taxonomy places the organism in Eukaryota, Metazoa, Arthropoda, Insecta, Orthoptera, Acrididae. The transcript has 3 exons.
AAUAUAGCGGCCCUCACUGCGGAGUCCGGCAGCCAGUCGCAGCCAUGCAGGUCGCCGCGCUGCUCAUCUGUCUGCUGCUGACCGCGAAUACGUCACAGGUUCAGGCGCAGCCCGAGCGCUGGGAGUUAAACUGGAGGGAAAAGGAUCCAGAGGACACUAUUUCCAUUUCAUCAGGGAAAGGUGUCUCAAAUGCUGAGAUUUAUGUAUGACCGGAAGUGCUGCAACUGUUACAUCUUAGGAACAGGCCCAUAAAAAACACUUCAAUACUAUGCCAGCAUGGGUGCUAGGAAGUGAACAAGAAAAAUCAUCAGUGGUAAUUCUGCUGCCUGAAGGCUCAGCAGAUAAUGAACACAUUUUCUGAUGUUCAGAUGGACAAUGAAAUUUAUCCUUUCAAACAUUGUGUCAGUAGAAUACAAAUAUCAAGAACAACAGAAAUUUACAGUACCUUAAACAAAUAAUAAGUUGCCAUUGAGCAGCUAUAUGUAAUAGGAAUAAUGCACAGAAUAACAGAAAUCUAAUUCAAACUCCAUAUAAUACAUCAUAGAAUUCUGUUGUCAAACCUCAUCACAGCUCUUCCAAUCCACUUGAUUGAGCUUUUGUUUCUGAUUGGUUGGAAAGAAUGAACUGACAACACUGAGAAAUUACGUAUCUAGUGUGACUGUAACUAUUUUUGCAUGCGGUCAUCACUGUUUUCCUUCCUAGUUAUUUAUGAAUUUCAUGUACAAGGCAUAGAUUACAAGUGUGAAUAACUUUUACACACAUAAAAGUGAAUGAGUGAAAGAUGCAGUCAAAAUAUUUUGUACGUAUGUAGAGUUGACUUCAAUUCAUUUUUAGCUGUGUUUCUCUGUCACUCUAAUAACCCAGCAUUUUCUUCGUUAUUCAUCCAGUGUCAGCAGUUGCUCCAUUUCUGCUGACCUUGUUAUCAGUUACAUGUGCAUAUUUCUAAUAUACCUUUCAUGUAAGAUAAGCAAUUUUGAAUGAAUGAUCAUGUGAUACUGGGCAAUAACCUAAGGAAGUGAACUAAGAGUGGCCCUCAUGUACCUUAUCGAAGUUCUUAUAGCACUUGUCCUAAAUUAGAAAUCUUCAUUGGUAAUACCAGUUAAUUCUCUUCUUUAUGCUGGAUAAUAAUUUUUAUAAACAGAUUCUUUUUCAUUCUCAUUAUUUAUUAAACAAGUAAGAGUUUGUACUAUCAAUGUCUGUAAAUGUGAAAAAAACAGAUAUUCUUACCAGUGGUUGCUGCAGUACACCAUCAUGGAUUGGAAAAAGCUUAUAAACGUUGUUUUACCAUACCACUCAGUUUGUAAAUUGUAAUGCAUCUGGUUGUACCUUCUAUUUUUAUUUCUCUAAAAAGUUUUCUACAUAUUAAGUAAAGUUUCUCACUUUGCCAUCACAACUUGCAUCACCUAAUUAGUGUUGUUAUUAAUGAGGACUUCUGACUUUCUGUUUUAAUAAUUUAUUACAGGUACCUCUAUAAUUUUAACUCCAUUCUCUUUGAGGAAAAAUAUGUUUGCACAUCCUUGAUCCUGCCUUAUCUGAUACAUUUACCAAAGAAUGCUUUGCUGUAAAACUGAGCAAGUAUGACUUUUGUGUGAGUGCAGGUUGUGAAAUAAGGCAAAUUUCCUGAUAUUUACAAGUAGUAUUCAUCACUUAUAGUCUCCAAAUUAUGACAUUGAUGUUGUUCUGUUCUGAUGGAAGCAUAUACUUUUUCUCUGUGACACUUAAAAGAAGCUUCUAAGAGAACUUCAAUGACAGCAUGUAUGGGACUUGAUCAAAUAUUAUCAAAAUAACAGCACUGCAAACCACUGUAUCACCACCAGGAGAAGAGGUUCCAUCAACGUCUGCCCUGUUAUACUGACUGUGAGCAAACACAAAACUCACAUAUGGUUCUUGUGUUUACCUGAGUAAAUAAAGCCCACCAGUCUGUGUUCUGCUGUUGUAACAAUCAGACAACUUGCUUGUAAAUCUAUUGAGACAUUCACAUUGUGCAUUGAGCAUUGUUUAUGAUGAAUGUUGUGAAACUGCUAGAGAUGUGGUGCAGUUGUACACUGAAGAGUCUCCAGAUUGUGCCAAGCAGUCAGACUCUGUCUGUAAAUGUUAUAAAUAAAGUUCCAGAAACUUGAAGUGUGGAGAAUAAAAUACGCCAAUGGAAAAGAAGAGCAACUGAUGAAAGAUAUUAAACUAACAUUUUAAAGGAUUAACACACUAUGUAAAUGUCACUAACUUGUAGUUCGGAAGUCUGAGAGGUAUCAAUCAAAUGAGAGUUCUGCAAACACUUCAUUCCGUCAUAUUUAAUCUUCUUCAAAUUUCACCACAUCUACAGCUUCAUGGCAGUCAGUAUCUAAAUUUGAUUACAGACCUCUGAAUGUCAUAUACAAAAAGUGCAAAGUGAGGUGGCAUAUCUAAGCAAAACUUUGUUUAAUGAAGAAGCAUCAUUUACCAACCAUACACAAGUCUGCCUUCACAAUAUGCACUAAUCAUCUGACUCAAUGAAUGCUCUGGUCUUUCAAUAUUUGGUGCAUGUUUUCCAAAACCCACAACACUAGUCUCUGUGUUGUUGAUGGAAUUCUAAAUACAUUCAAGUAAUGUGUGUUCCUAAGAUAUACUGCUGCUGCAUUUAUUGGGAGACACCCCACUGAACAUAAGGCAGUCAGUGUGGUACCAACAUGAUGGAUAUCCCUCUCAUUCCACACAUAUGUUGACAGGCCCUCUUUAAGAGGACAUUUGGAGACCAUUGGAGCACUUGUUCAGGAAAUGCAAAAUGGCCUAUGGACUCACCUAACUUAACACUUCUACACCUUUAUCUGUGCUGAGAUUUAAGACAAGAAGUCUAUUACGAAACGCUGAUGACUCCCAAAGAAAUGAAAUGCCUUUCAACGUAUUGAGUCUAGAUGAAAUUCGAUGUGCAGUGCUGUUUCGCCAGAAUCACUUUAUAGUGUGCAGCAAUGCUCAAGGUCAAAAUUUUGAGCACAUGGUAUGAUAGCCAUGAUAAUACACAUAAAAACCAUACACCGAGUUCUGUCCUUGCUUACAUUUGGUGUAACAGGGCAGAAACUCAUGGAACCUCUUCCCCUGAUGGUGAGAAAGGUCCAUGGUGCUGUUACCUUGAUACUGCUUGAUCAUGUCCAUGGAACCUCUUCCCCUGAUGGUGAGACAGGCCCAUGGUGCUGUUACCUUAAUGGCCAGCCACUGUGGCUGAGUGGUUCUAGGCACUUCAGUCUGGAACUGUGCAACUGGUAGGGUCACAGGUUCGAAUCCUGCCUUGGGCAUGGAUGUGUGUGAUGUCCUUAGGUUACUUAGGUUAAAGUAGUUCAAAGUUCUAGAUGAUUGAUGACCUCAGAUGUUAAGUCCCAUAGUAUACAAAGUCAUUUGUUAUCUUGAUACUGUUUGAUCAUGUCCCAUGCAUGUUAUGUCAAUAAAAAUUGCUUGUGAAUAUUGGGAAAUACACUGUAUUGUCUGCUAUAACUUGAAAAAAAAAGUAGCAUCUCAAUAUAUUUAUUCAUUCUGGACAUAUUUGUGGUGGCCUGCCUUAGCUGCCUCAAUCUAUCUAGAGUAAGUUCUGUUGUAGAUGGUGUAUAAUUGCCUUAAUCCAAUCCAUAGAUAAUGAAUCUCAGUUGUGUGGAUGAAUCAUAUAUGUUACUGUUGUGCUGAUAAUGUAGUUGUGUGUUACACAGGAAUAACAAGAAACAUGUAAAUCCGAUACAUGUAUGUUAUUUUUAUGAUAAACAAGAUUCACUAACAUAUUUAUUAGUGGUCCUCUAUACCACUCAUAUAUAGUUUCAUUCUACAACACAAAUCUCACAGCUUGUUUGUCUGUUUUUAACUUUCUACCAAUUUUUCUUGGUAGAAAUACAUGUAUAAAGAACACAAAAUAUAUAUACCUUUGUUAUUUUUAUGUUAAAUAGCAGCAACAUAAGAUUACUUUUUGGAAUUUGAAAGACAAUAUAUACCUCUAAGAAAAUCCUGUAUUUUUGUCACUAAUAAUACUUUUUGUUUCCAGCUACUUAUGUAUUUUAUGAAUAAUAAACAAAUAAAUAAGUA